CCGCAUGGGGAUAUUUGCUAAAGAUUCAUCGCUGAUAGAUAGGCAUGCGUUCCAUUAGGCAGUUGGCGGGGUAACGGCCCACCAAACCGACGAUGGAUAGGGGUUCUGAGAGGAAGGUCCCCCACAUUGGUACUGAGACACGGACCAAACUCCUACGGGAGGCAGCAGUGAGGAAUAUUGGUCAAUGGGCGUAAGCCUGAACCAGCCAAGUCGCGUGAGGGAUGAAGGUUCUAUGGAUCGUAAACCUCUUUUAUAAGGGAAUAAAGUGCGGGACGUGUCCCGUUUUGUAUGUACCUUAUGAAUAAGGAUCGGCUAACUCCGUGCCAGCAGCCGCGGUAAUACGGAGGAUCCGAGCGUUAUCCGGAUUUAUUGGGUUUAAAGGGUGCGUAGGCGGCCUUUUAAGUCAGCGGUGAAAGUCUGUGGCUCAACCAUAGAAUUGCCGUUGAAACUGGGAGGCUUGAGUAUGUUUGAGGCAGGCGGAAUGCGUGGUGUAGCGGUGAAAUGCUUAGAUAUCACGCAGAACCCCGAUUGCGAAGGCAGCCUGCCAAGCCAUGACUGACGCUGAUGCACGAAAGCGUGGGGAUCAAACAGGAUUAGAUACCCUGGUAGUCCACGCAGUAAACGAUGAUCACUAGCUGUUUGCGAUACAGUGUAAGCGGCACAG
RNAcentral lists this ribosomal RNA (664 nucleotides) under uncultured bacterium. RNAcentral describes it as "bacterial SSU rRNA". It matches the Rfam family "Bacterial small subunit ribosomal RNA", at positions 186 to 851 of the family's 1533-position model. The record is from RNAcentral.